GAUGAACGCUGGCGGCGUGCCUAACACAUGCAAGUCGAGCGAAAACACGAGGAGCUCUUGCUCCUGACGUUAGCGGGGGACGGGCGAGUAACGCGUGGAUCACCUACUUCUAUGUCUGGGGUAACUACGGGGAGCAGGAGCUACUACUAGCUCAUAUAUUCAACCGCAUGGAUCAAUAGUUCAAGGCGGCUUGGCUGUCUGUUUUAGCUGAAUCCGGGCCGCAUUAGCUAGUUGGUAAGGUAACGGCUUACCAAGGCGACGAUGCGUAGCCGAUCUGAGAGGAUGAUCGGCCACACUGGAACUGAGACACGGUCCAGACUCCUACGGGAGGCAGCAGUGGGGAAUCUUGGACAAUGGGCGAAAGCCUGACGGAGCAACGCCGCGUGAGUGAUGAAGGCCUUCGGAUCGUAAAGCUCUGUUGUUAGGGAAGAAAAGAAGUGUAAUAAACUAUGGCCGUCUUGACGGUACCUAAACAAAAAGCAACGGCUAACUACGUG
Molecule: ribosomal RNA, 497 nt
Filed under: uncultured bacterium
Lineage: Bacteria
Description: partial 16S ribosomal RNA
Rfam family: Bacterial small subunit ribosomal RNA
Source: RNAcentral